GCCUACGGACAUACCACCCUGAACACACCAGAUCUCGUCUGAUCUCAGAAGCUAAGCAGGGUCAGUCCUGGUUAGUACUUGGAUGGCAGAAAUUCCCCUAUCUAAUAGUUU
This 111-nucleotide ribosomal RNA is filed under the name Erinaceus europaeus (western European hedgehog). The record is from RNAcentral. Lineage: Eukaryota; Metazoa; Chordata; Mammalia; Eulipotyphla; Erinaceidae.